Molecule: ribosomal RNA, 692 nt
Filed under: Rhodococcus sp. MJBC36
Lineage: Bacteria; Bacillati; Actinomycetota; Actinomycetes; Mycobacteriales; Nocardiaceae
Description: bacterial SSU rRNA
Rfam family: Bacterial small subunit ribosomal RNA
Source: RNAcentral
GCUUGCUGGGUGGAUUAGUGGCGAACGGGUGAGUAACACGUGGGUGAUCUGCCCUGCACUUCGGGAUAAGCCUGGGAAACUGGGUCUAAUACCGGAUACGACCACGGGAUGCAUGUCCUGUGGUGGAAAGGUUUACUGGUGCAGGAUGAGCCCGCGGCCUAUCAGCUUGUUGGUGGGGUAAUGGCCCACCAAGGCGACGACGGGUAGCCGGCCUGAGAGGGCGACCGGCCACACUGGGACUGAGACACGGCCCAGACUCCUACGGGAGGCAGCAGUGGGGAAUAUUGCACAAUGGGCGAAAGCCUGAUGCAGCGACGCCGCGUGAGGGAUGAAGGCCUUCGGGUUGUAAACCUCUUUCAGCAGGGACGAAGCGCAAGUGACGGUACCUGCAGAAGAAGCACCGGCUAACUACGUGCCAGCAGCCGCGGUAAUACGUAGGGUGCGAGCGUUGUCCGGAAUUACUGGGCGUAAAGAGUUCGUAGGCGGUUUGUCGCGUCGUGUGUGAAAUCCCGCAGCUCAACUGCGGGCUUGCAGGCGAUACGGGCAGACUUGAGUACUGCAGGGGAGACUGGAAUUCCUGGUGUAGCGGUGAAAUGCGCAGAUAUCAGGAGGAACACCGGUGGCGAAGGCGGGUCUCUGGGCAGUAACUGACGCUGAGGAACGAAAGCGUGGGUAGCGAACAGGAUUAGAUA